UACGGAGGGAGCUAGCGUUGUUCGGAAUUACUGGGCGUAAAGCGCGCGUAGGCGGCUUUGUAAGUUAGAGGUGAAAGCCCGGAGCUCAACUCCGGAACUGCCUUUAAAACUGCAUCGCUUGAAUCCAGGAGAGGUGAGUGGAAUUCCGAGUGUAGAGGUGAAAUUCGUAGAUAUUCGGAAGAACACCAGUGGCGAAGGCGGCUCACUGGACCGGCAUUGACGCUGAGGUGCGAAAGCGUGGGGAGCAAACAG
This 252-nucleotide ribosomal RNA is filed under the name uncultured bacterium. RNAcentral describes it as "partial 16S ribosomal RNA". It matches the Rfam family "Bacterial small subunit ribosomal RNA", at positions 524 to 775 of the family's 1533-position model. The record is from RNAcentral.